Molecule: ribosomal RNA, 497 nt
Filed under: uncultured bacterium
Lineage: Bacteria
Description: bacterial SSU rRNA
Rfam family: Bacterial small subunit ribosomal RNA
Source: RNAcentral
CUGGCUCAGGACGAACGCUAGCGGCGUGCCUAAGAAAUGCAAGUCGAGCGAGGUAUCGGAGCUUGCUCUGAUAACUUAGCGGCGAACGGUCGCGUAACACGUAAGCAACCCUGGCCCCUGGGAGUGGGGGGAUGGUCCUCCGAAAGGGGGGCUUAAUACCGCAUGUGGCCACUGACCCGCAUGAGUCAGUGUCUAAAGCAGCAAUGCGCUCCAGGAUGGGCUUGCGGCCUAUCAGCUAGUUGGUGUGGGUAACGGCUCACCAAGGCGACGACGGGUAGCUGGUCUGAGAGGAUGGUCAGCCGGACUGGGACUGAGACACGGCCCAGACUCCUACGGGGGGCAGCAAUUAGGAAUCUUGCGCAAUGGGCGAAAGCCUGACGCAGCGAACCGCCGCGUGACUGAUGAAGUCCUUCGGGAUGUAAAGGUCUUUUGCAGGGGAAGAAGGAUGUGACGGUACCCUGCGAAUAAGCUCCGGCUAACUACGUGCCAGCAGCUGC